AGAACGAACGCUGGCGGCAUGCCUAACACAUGCAAGUCGAACGAGACCUUCGGGUCUAGUGGCGCACGGGUGCGUAACGCGUGGGAACCUGCCCUUAGGUUCGGAAUAACAGUUAGAAAUGACUGCUAAUACCGGAUAAUGUCUUCGGACCAAAGAUUUAUUGCCUAGGGAUGAGCCCGCGUAAGAUUAGCUAGUUGGUGGGGUAAAAGCCUACCAAGGCGACGAUCUUUAGCUGGUCUGAGAGGAUGAUCAGCCACACUGGGACUGAGACACGGCCCAGACUCCUACGGGAGGCAGCAGUGGGGAAUAUUGGACAAUGGGCGAAAGCCUGAUCCAGCAAUGCCGCGUGAGUGAUGAAGGCCUUAGGGUGUAAAGCUCUUUACCGGGAUGAUAAUGACAGUACCGGAGAAUAAGCCCGCUAACUCCGUGCCAGCAGCCGC
Molecule: ribosomal RNA, 440 nt
Filed under: uncultured soil bacterium
Lineage: Bacteria
Description: bacterial SSU rRNA
Rfam family: Bacterial small subunit ribosomal RNA
Source: RNAcentral